Molecule: long non-coding RNA, 1062 nt
Organism: Felis catus (domestic cat)
Lineage: Eukaryota; Metazoa; Chordata; Mammalia; Carnivora; Felidae
Exons: 3
Source: RefSeq, a predicted model, not a curated record
AUUGGCUCUCCUUGCCCCAGACCCGUGGAAUCGCUUCCGGUCCCCCCUGCAGCCCAGGGCUUGCCCCUGGGUGCCCCGGCCUCACCCAUCUUGCGGGCGUCUGCUGAGCCUCACUUCCUGGAAACCCUCCUGGACUCUAAGUCCAAGUUCACCCGGGCUCCCCCCAGGGAGCACAGGCCACACCGCUUCCUACCUACGAUUUUGUCUGCCGCCCAAGAGACCCGAGCUCUGCAAUGGCUUCCCACGCCUGCCACGGUGCGUGGUCCCAAACAGAUGCGCCGCAGAGAGCAGGUGAUGUCAGGAGCCUUGGAUGACCCUGGUGUCGGGGUGCUCACUACCUCUCACUGGUGAUUAUCCUGAUCAUUAGAAGGCAGCAUUUGGCUCCAUCCAUCUCCAGCCUCUGUGUGCCCCCACCCAGCAGCUGAGAAUGACCCCCUGUCCCACGCCAGGCAAGUCCACAGAGGGAGCUUUGGCUGGAAGAAGAAGCUACCAGACUGGGGGCCAAGAGAGGGGAGACGCUGGUGAAGGACAACAGUGGCUCAGUGUUUUCCAGGAAGGCUGGAGUGCACGAAGAAUGCAAAGCACAGAAACUAUCUCAGUCAACCACGUCUCUAUCAAAAGUGAGAGGAGGAAAGGGAGACAGCCACCUGUGUCCCAGACCCACGUCCCUCACUGGCUCAGGCGGGGGCCCCACCCUUCGGUAGUGGGUGUUGAAUUCCCAGCCUGGCGUUUGGGUUUUUUCGGCUGGCUGUGGUCCCAGCUUGUCCAGAGGAGCCCUGGAGAAGCACUCUCCUCUGGUGGUCACUACAGAGAUAGCAGCUGCCGUCGGAAGAAAGCCACCUCCUAAAGCUAAAAGCUGAAUGGGUUCAUUUCCCCCCGCCUAAAACUGGGGAAUUCAUCUCUUUGAGGGAUCCAAACAGAUAUUUGCACACGCAUGCUCGUAGCAUCAUUAUUCACGAUGGCCAAAAGGUGGAAACCUCCUAAAUGUCCACGGACAGAUGAACGGAUAAACAAAAUGGGUCCAGCCACACAACGCAGUAUUAUUCAGCCUUAAAAAAAAAA